GAUGAACGCUGGCGGCGUGCCUAAUACAUGCAAGUCGAGCGAACAGACGAGGAGCUUGCUCCUCUGACGUUAGCGGCGGACGGGUGAGUAACACGUGGAUAACCUACCUAUAAGACUGGGAUAACUUCGGGAAACCGUAGCUAAUACCGGAUAAUAUAUUGAACCGCAUGGUUCAAUAGUGAAAGACGGUUUUGCUGUCACUUAUAGAUGGAUCCGCGCUGCAUUAGCUAGUUGGUAAGGUAACGGCUUACCAAGGCGACGAUGCGUAGCCGACCUGAGAGGGUGAUCGGCCACACUGGAACUGAGACACGGUCCAGACUCCUACGGGAGGCAGCAGUAGGGAAUCUUCCGCAAUGGGCGAAAGCCUGACGGAGCAACGCCGCGUGAGUGAUGAAGGUCUUCGGAUCGUAAAACUCUGUUAUUAGGGAAGAACAAAUGUGUAAGUAACUAUGCACGUCUUGACGGUACCUAAUCAGAAAGCCACGGCUAACUACGUG
Molecule: ribosomal RNA, 497 nt
Filed under: uncultured bacterium
Lineage: Bacteria
Description: partial 16S ribosomal RNA
Rfam family: Bacterial small subunit ribosomal RNA
Source: RNAcentral